UUCUCAGCUAUAGAUAAUCCAAAUAGAUACUUAAAGGGGUAACAAAAGGUGUCACAUUCCUACCACCCAAAAGACACAAAAUUAAUGAAUAAAUAACAUAAUUACUGAGUAAAGUUCUAGUAAUGCUACCUAAUCAACACUAGAGACCAAACCUAUUGUGAGACAAUGUAUACUGAUCUCUGUUUUACACACACUGACACACAAUAACCAACACUUAAUUAGCGCGCGCGCGCGCACACACACAG
Molecule: unclassified non-coding RNA, 245 nt
Filed under: Hevea brasiliensis (rubber tree)
Lineage: Eukaryota; Viridiplantae; Streptophyta; Magnoliopsida; Malpighiales; Euphorbiaceae
Source: RNAcentral